RNAcentral lists this long non-coding RNA (364 nucleotides) under Theobroma cacao (cacao). RNAcentral's name for it is "long non-coding RNA (TCAC_LNC002442)". The record is from RNAcentral. Lineage: Eukaryota; Viridiplantae; Streptophyta; Magnoliopsida; Malvales; Malvaceae.
AAAUUUGGAACCAAGUGGAGUGGGUAGCCAGCCAAGUGUGAUGGUGUCACGACCCAAUUUCCCGGGCCAUGACUGGCGCAUGAGCUCAAUGAGAUAGCUCACUAAGCCCAAGCAAGCCUAUCCGUUUAGCUUUACUUAACAAAUUUAUCAUAUCAUGCAUACACACACACACCUUUUCCCAGGUGUGAACAUAACCAAAACACAAUGGCAUUAUCGAUAAUAAUAUACAUGCACUAUACCAGUCAUGUAUUUAGCAAUUUACAUUGCAUACACAUAUUCACAUUGUUAGAUUGUAUUCACAACAAAAGGACCCAUGACUUCCAGCGAAGACAUUUACAAUAAAAGGGAUUACUAUCGAAUGNNN